UAGUUCCUUCAGGGCAGGGUGUAAUUCCCGACCGGCGGUAAAGUCCGCGAGCCGAUUUUGGCUGACUUGGUGUAAUUCCAAGACCGACAGUAAAGUCUGGAUGAGAGAAGGCAAUU
This 116-nucleotide non-coding RNA is filed under the name Petrocella atlantisensis. Its description in RNAcentral is "FMN riboswitch aptamer (RFN element)". It matches the Rfam family "FMN riboswitch aptamer (RFN element)". From Rfam's summary of the family: The RFN element is a highly conserved domain that is found frequently in the 5'-untranslated regions of prokaryotic mRNAs that encode for flavin mononucleotide (FMN) biosynthesis and transport proteins. This element is a metabolite-dependent riboswitch that directly binds FMN in the absence of proteins. In Bacillus subtilis, the riboswitch most likely controls gene expression by causing premature transcription termination within the 5' untranslated region of the ribDEAHT operon and precluding access to the ribosome-binding site of ypaA mRNA. The record is from Rfam by way of RNAcentral. Lineage: Bacteria; Bacillati; Bacillota; Clostridia; Lachnospirales; Vallitaleaceae.